This is a long non-coding RNA of Cyprinodon tularosa, 1676 nucleotides long. RefSeq lists it as uncharacterized. The transcript is spliced from 4 exons. The record is from RefSeq and is a predicted model, not a curated record. Lineage: Eukaryota; Metazoa; Chordata; Actinopteri; Cyprinodontiformes; Cyprinodontidae.
CGUGUCUGGAUUUGCGUUUCUGGCAUUUAUUUGCACAUAGCUGAGACAGAAGGUCAGCUCACAAUGAGAGCAUUUGAACCAACACAGCUGUACUUUUAACAGUUAUUUCCAGCGUUGCAAUCCGGUCAAUAAAACCUGAUGCUACAGGUUCAGUGACCCACAUACAGGGAGAGAAAUCCCAGCUUAACCCGCCCUGUCUUUCUUGCUGAAGCUUCAUGGAAGUGCAGCUUGUGUGAGUGUGCGUGUUUAAAUUUGGCGUGCUCUCUUUCCUGUUUGUCUGACUCCAUGAACUCCGCAGCUCCAGACACGUCUGUCAUGAACAGACAAAAUGAACCUGAGCUUGGAAGCUUUUCUGCAGCUUAUGGCGGCCCGCUGGAACAUGCCAUGUUUGUCUUUCUGUCCUGGGAAACUAACUGGUCACAGUUUUGGAGAAGUUUAUUGAGACCUGAAGAUGGGUCUCAGGAGGAACCUGAGAUUCCUGGUGUUGGUCGGUGAAGCAGAACUCAGAGCAGGAAAGGUGUGAACUCCGACUUAUUUCAAAUAUGCGGCGUUCUGAUGGCUGUCAAGCACUUCAGUUCAAGUCUGAGCAUCAAAGCCGAGCUGAACUCAAACAGCAGCCUAUCCCUCAGCAGGAGAACAUAUCUGUGCCACAUUUUUUCCCCUCUUAGUUUCCUGGUUCCUGCAACUCCUUGUAAACACUCAUUUGACCCAGAGGACACACUAACUGCAGCACCUGCGUCUGUGACUCUCCUGAAGGUCAAAAUGGCUGGAACUCCUCCAAAGUCAACACUGAGCAAUAAGAUGCAGACAACUGCCAUUUCCAGGGAGCUCCGUCAACACAGACGACCCUUUCCCCAACCGCGCGUUUGAGCUAAUCAUGGAAAAAUUUGCCUAUGAGUCUUGAAAUGCUUGAGUUGUUACACCGAGCUAAACGAGCUUAAGAAUAAUUUUUUUUUAUAGGUCACUGCUACUUUGCUGCAUGUGACUGUUGACCUAAUUCUCAGCCCUGGACAGGUGCAGAAAACAAAAACAGAGGCAAAGUUACUGAGGGUAAUUUGGUGCAAUUGAGCCCUCCCAUUAGUGACUUGCAGGCGUGCACACAGAGGAGGCGUGCACAACCCACACGUAUAUCGGCACACACACAACUACCUUUGACUGAGCCCUGUGGAAUCAAAACAACCACGCUCACCCUGCCUGGUCUGAAAGAAACACUGGCAGCUGUUUAUAACUCCAGUGUUGUGUAACACAUUACUCCAGCCUCUUUGACCUACACACUCUAUGAACUCAGGGGCAGUUUGGGAAAGAGGACAUAACAUCAAAAGUUUCAAAUUUAUUAAAUGCUGCGUAGUAUGGAGAGAAUUUUAUUCCAUUACUGUUGCAAGCAAAGAACAAAGUUUGAUCCUAGAAAUGUAACUUGUUAACUAAAAAUGAUUUUUUACUGAAUUUUAUUGAUAUUAGUAUCAUAUUUUCUUCUUUUUCACCUUUCAUAAAAAAAAUUCCUAAUUUAUUUAAUUUUUUCAAAUUUCGUCCUUUCAGAUAGAGUUUUCCAAAUUGCAUUCUUUUCAAGUUACGUUUUCAGACUUUCCUUUGAAGUGAAGAUGCAUUUUUAUUGGUCUGCACGGACAUUAGUAACAACAUUGUAAAGGUUAAUGUCAUUUUUUAAAUGCAUUUUCAAA